RNAcentral lists this ribosomal RNA (463 nucleotides) under uncultured bacterium. Its description in RNAcentral is "partial 16S ribosomal RNA". It matches the Rfam family "Bacterial small subunit ribosomal RNA", at positions 28 to 507 of the family's 1533-position model. The record is from RNAcentral.
GACGAACGCUGGCGGCGUGCUUAACACAUGCAAGUCGAACGGUGAGCCUCUUCGGAGGGUCUCAGUGGCGAACGGGUGGGUAACACGGGGGCAACCUGCCCACCGCUCUGGGAUAACUCCAUGAAAUCGGGGCUAAUACCGGAUGUUCAGCUCUUCUGGCAUGGGUGGUGGUGGAAAGGGUGUAGGGCGGGGGGUGGGCGCGCGGGCUAUGAGCCUGUUGGCGGGGUAGUGGCGUACCAAGGCGGCGACGGGUAGCCGGCCUGAGAGGGUCGCCGCGCACACGGGGACUGCGAGAGGGAGCAGUCUCGUACGGGAGGCAGCGGGGGAGAGUAUUGCGCAGCGAGCGCGAGUCAGUGGCAACGGCGCCGCGUGCGGGAUGACGGGCUUCGAGUGGUAAACCUCUGUCAGCAGGGACGAAGCGCAAGUGACGGUACCUGCAGAAGAAGCACCGGCCAACUACGUG